RNAcentral lists this long non-coding RNA (459 nucleotides) under Homo sapiens (human). RNAcentral's name for it is "HSALNT0110286". The record is from RNAcentral. Lineage: Eukaryota; Metazoa; Chordata; Mammalia; Primates; Hominidae.
AUUUAAGAAGAGACAAGACGCAUUUUAAAUGGCUUUUCCCCAUUUCUAUGCUCCUUAUCUGAAGCCAUAGCAUCAGUUCUGAGCCAGCACCAGAAGAGGAAGGACUAAUAUAGAAAUGAUUGAAUAAUGAAUGGAUAAUGGCCUAAGGAGCAAUAAGCAAAGUCAAUCAGAGUUGAAUACUCUAUGACUCUAUGCAAGUAUUUCCCUACACCUAAAAAUAAUGUGAAUAAUAAAUAGGAGCUCAUUUGUAUUGUUUCUUACAUGGGCAAUUAAAAAACAGCAUCUGUUUCUAUACUUGCCAAACCAUAUAAAGACAUGGCAAAUCAUAAUGCCAUAUACUGAAAACAAUUAAAAGUAAAAAAGUAAAAUUUAAAUAUUACACAAUAACAUACUGGUAUGUUACACAUAAACAUACAAAUCGCCUGGUUGUGUAACAGGAUCAUUGAAAAAUGAAAGGAA